Molecule: ribosomal RNA, 253 nt
Filed under: uncultured bacterium
Lineage: Bacteria
Description: partial 16S ribosomal RNA
Rfam family: Bacterial small subunit ribosomal RNA
Source: RNAcentral
UACGGGGGGGGCAAGCGUUGUUCGGAAUUACUGGGCGUAAAGGGCUCGUAGGCGGCCAACUAAGUCGGAUGUGAAAUCCCCAGGCUCAACUUGGGAACUGCAUCCGAUACUGGAUGGCUUGAAUUCGGGAGAGGGAUGCAGAAUUCCAGGUGUAGCGGUGAAAUUCGUAGAUAUUCGGAAGAACACCAGUGGCGAAGGCGACUUACUGGACACAUAUUGACGCUGAGGUGCGAAAGCGUGGGGAGCAAACAGG